UGUCCUUGCUGUUUGCAGAUAA
RNAcentral lists this microRNA (22 nucleotides) under Oryctolagus cuniculus (rabbit). RNAcentral's name for it is "ocu-miR-2355-3p". Lineage: Eukaryota; Metazoa; Chordata; Mammalia; Lagomorpha; Leporidae. The record is from miRBase by way of RNAcentral.